ACUGCUCAGUAACACGUGGACAACCUACCCUGAGGAGGGGGAUAACACCGGGAAACUGGGGAUAAUACCCCAUAGACUAUGGAUGCUGGAAUGCUCUGUAGUUAAAAGGCCCGCCGCCUCAGGAUGGGUCUGCGGCCGAUUAGGUUGUUGUUGGGGUAACGGCCCAACAGGCCUGUAAUCGGUACGAGUUGUGGGAGCAAGAGCCCGGAGAUGGAUUCUGAGACACGAAUCCAGGCCCUACGGGGCGCAGCAGGCGCGAAAACUUUACAAUGCGAGCAAUCGUGAUAAGGGAACUCCGAGUGCCCGUAAAAUCGGGCUGUCCGCCAGUGUAAAUAACUGGUGAAGAAAGGGCCGGGCAAGACCGGUGCCAGCCGCCGCGGUAAUACCGGCGGCUCGAGUGGUGGCCACUAUUACUGGGCUUAAAGCGUUCGUAGCUGGUCUGUUAAGUCUCUGGGGAAAUCUUCCGGCUUAACCGGAAGGCGUCUCAGGGAUACUGACAGACUAGGGACCGGAAGAGGUGAGAGGUACUCCAGGGGUAGGAGUGAAAUCCUGUAAUCCUUGGGGGACCACCUGUGGCGAAGGCGUCUCACCAGGACGGCUCCGACAGUGAGGAACGAAAGCUGGGGGAGCAAACCGGAUUAGAUACCCGGGUAGUCCCAGCUGUAAACGAUGCGCGUUAGGUGUAUCGGUGACCACGAGUCACCGAGGUGCCGAAGAGAAAUCGUGAAACGCGCCGCCUGGGAAGUACGGUCGCAAGGCUGAAACUUAAAGGAAUUGGCGGGGGAGCAC
RNAcentral lists this ribosomal RNA (789 nucleotides) under uncultured archaeon. RNAcentral describes it as "bacterial SSU rRNA". It matches the Rfam family "Archaeal small subunit ribosomal RNA", at positions 85 to 879 of the family's 1478-position model. The record is from RNAcentral.